GAUCCAUUUGUACUGGAGAAUGGUAUGUACCCUGAAAUAACUCACUUCCUGAGGGAAAAAUGCUGUCUCUAGGGUACAGAAACCUGAUUCUGGGCUCUGUUUGGGAAGGAGGAUUCCCAAAUCAUUGCUCUGAUGAGAGCAAAUGAUUUUGCAAGUAUAAAACAAUGUUCAGAGAGGCUGUAGGGACACCUGUGAGCCCAGAGGAACCACCAGGGGAUCCUGUGUGAAGCACCGGGGCUUCAGCUGGGGUCAGAGGAGUGGGUGGGCCUCUCUCUAAUGACUUAUCCUGAUGUUUGUGUUUGAAAGAUCUGUUUUUGGAGAGCAUAUCCAAUGAUGAGGAUUUGUAGGUAGGUAACUACUUUCCAUGUAAGAUUCAAUGGGAGAGAGUUCCCAGGGGCCUUCAGGGUAUCCAUUUGCUUGGGAGGUUGAGGGAGGGGGCAUGAAAUCAAAAAGAAAAAGGAAAUAUGUGUCAAAUUGGAUUUGGUCUUUUCCAAGUUUCUUGCCAUAAUAUAAGAACUGUCUCUCUGGGCUGUGAGGGUGCUGUGUGAUUUAAAGGUGAUCUUUCCCAAAACACCUGGCCUUUUCUCUUCUGCCUCUGCCAAACAUCACAGCCUUUGGGUUGGACUAGUCAGCACUGCUUGGGAUUGUGCAGAAGAGGUUUGGGGUUGCAUCAAGUGUUGCCUGUGGCGAACAGAAUCUGAGGACACAACUCCCUCACAGGCACUUACUUGAACCUGGAGACAAAGUUCUCCUGGUGUGUGCCCAGGGGUGCAGGAGAAAUUGAUGGUCGUCCUCUGAACUUUUAGGACUUUAAAAAGCAUUCAUGUUUCCAUCCUCACUGUUGACUCCUGGCUUAAAAGGAUCUCCCAGGGUGAGUGAAGAGGCGGGAUCAGACCCUGGCAGUCUGAUGGCAACACCUGUGUUCCUCUGCGCUGGGCCUUGGACGACAUUACACACCUUGUCUUCACAACAGGGCAACAUAAAAGAAGGAGCCCCACUAGUCUCCCCUUAACCUGGAAUCCCCCCUUCUCCACAGCUUGCUCAUUGGACAGGAUAGACUGGGCACCCAGACCUCAGGGUAAGGAUACGCUCCAUCACCUAGAGGUGUAGUGCCUGGGAAGGCCAACCUUGGAGGGGUGCUGCCAGCUUUAUAGUGAUGGAGGUGUUGGGAGGGAGUGACCACUAAUUAUUUUUUAAUGUUUGGACGAACGGAGGCAGGAUGGUGCACUUCCGGGUUCUUCUUCACCACCAACUCUUCCCGUGUGUGCGAGAAUGCAGCUGAUGCCCGGG
This 1290-nucleotide long non-coding RNA is filed under the name Piliocolobus tephrosceles (Ugandan red Colobus). RNAcentral's name for it is "lncRNA (ENSPTEG00000039169.1)". The record is from RNAcentral. Lineage: Eukaryota; Metazoa; Chordata; Mammalia; Primates; Cercopithecidae.